RNAcentral lists this ribosomal RNA (915 nucleotides) under uncultured marine group I thaumarchaeote. RNAcentral's name for it is "bacterial SSU rRNA". It matches the Rfam family "Archaeal small subunit ribosomal RNA", at positions 1 to 923 of the family's 1478-position model. The record is from RNAcentral. Lineage: Archaea; Thermoproteati; Nitrososphaerota.
UUCCGGUUGAUCCCGCCGGACCUGACUGCUAUCGGAUUGGUACUAAGCCAUGUGAGUCGUUGUAGCAAUACAAGGCAUACGGCUCAGUAACACGUAGUCAAUCUAACCUAUGGACGGGGAUAACCUCGGGACACUGAGGAUAAAACCCGAUAGAUCAUAAUGCCUGGAACGGUUUAUGGUUCAAAUGAUUCGUCGCCGUAGGGUGGGACUGCGGCCUAUCAGCUUGUUGGUGAGGUAAUGGCCCACCAAGGCUAUUACAGGUACGGGCUCUGAGAGGAGUAGCCCGGAGAUGGGUACUGAGACACGGACCCAGGCCCUAUGGGGCGCAGCAGGCGAGAAACCUUUGCAAUGUGCGCAAGCACGACAAGGUUAAUCCGAGUGUUUCCUGCUAAAGGAAUCUUUUGUUAGUCUUAAAAUCACUAUUGAAUAAGGGGUGGGCAAGUUCUGGUGUCAGCCGCCGCGGUAAAACCAGCACCUCAAGUGGUCAGGAUGAUUAUUGGGCCUAAAGCAUCCGUAGCCUGUUCUGUAAGUUUCCGGUUAAAUCCAUUAGCUUAACUAAUGGGCUGCCGAAAAUACUGCAGAACUAGGGAGUGGGAGAGGUAGACGGUACUCGGUAGGAAGGGGUAAAAUCCUUUGAUCUAUUGAUGACCACCUGUGGCGAAGGCGGUCUACCAGAACACGUUCGACGGUGAGGGAUGAAAGCUGGGGGAGCAAACCGGAUUAGAUACCCGGGUAGUCCCAGCUGUAAACGAUGCAGACUCGGUGAUGCACUGGCUUGUGGCCAGUGCAGUGCCGCAGGGAAGCCGUUAAGUUUGCCGCCUGGGAAGUACGUACGCAAGUAUGAAACUUAAAGGAAUUGGCGGGGGAGCACCACAAGGGGUGAAGCCUGCGGUUCAAUUGGAUUCAACGCCGGAA